UGAGAUGAUGCCACAGAGUUGUGGUUAAACUCUAGGUUGUUAUUUAGAUUCAUGCAAGAGUCAAUCCACUAUCAUAGUGCAUUCUAUGGCUUCAGUUGAUUGAGCUAAAUGCUGCAUGGAAAGUUUCUCAGGAUGGGUAGUGAGUAGGAGAGCAGAUAAAAACUGAAUGUCUAUAGUACAAGGAAUUUGUUACAGGGCUUGGCUGCAGACUGCCUAUUGUCUAUCAAAUUAACGAGCCAUCUCUACUGAUGCCCGGUGUCUCCUGGCAAUGAGAAGGACAGCAGUUCUUGCAGGCACCCUUGGAAGCUAACGAGCGCUUCUUUUGGAGUUCUUUCUGGUCACAGGAGCUGAUUUCAGAAUAUUAAAAGCCUAAACAUCAUAGAGGUCAUGGUGGAAGUCAGUGGACACAGUUCACACCAAACAUCUGCUGUGGAUUUCAAAUAGAGGAAUGGCUUGCAGAUGGAGGCACCCUGUCAUGCCAGUCCACUAAUUUAAUCGUGGAUGCUGAAAAUGCUGUCUGGAAGCUUCCAAGGAUGCACCAUACAACAUUUAAGUUGUGGUGUAAUGAUCAUUGAUAUGUUCGUUGUGUUCAGGAGUAAAUAAGGAAUGAAGUAAGAAUCUGAAAAAGAUUCUGUCUACUUAGAUGAGUUACUGCUCCUAAUUUGAGUACACAGAAGAAAGGAGGUUUUAAUAGAUCAUAACCCAGGAUACACGACACUUUGUUGGUGAGCCCUUCCAUGGCCUUUGCGUGGGUGUGUUGCUAGUCAUCAUUUUCUAUUCACCUAAGCAUACCUGCCCCAAGGCUGUUUGCUAUUCUUUUUCUCAUGACCAUCAACUGCUAGUGCCCGACACUGAGCAUCUAGAAAGGGUUUGAGAAAGGAAUUAGAACGAGGAGAGGGAAGGGAAAGAAAUAGGCGGGGGAUGUCAAUAUUAAAAUUUGAGACUGUGGUAAAGAAAAUAUUAUUAAAACGUCUUGGGGUAUUUUGAUAGGGUUGAAAAUAUCUAGGUCAAAUAAGGUUCCCAGACGUGUGUUUCCAUGUUGACAGCGAUGCAGCCAAAUGGGACUGACUCUUCCCGGCCUCCUCCUUAUUCCUCAGGUGCCACAUACGCAUCUGACUCGAGUCAAAACAGAAAGCUGGAUUCCUCCUCUAAAAAUGUGCUGGCAGGCGAUCUGGGUGACCUUUAAGAAUCAGUCAUUCCAAAUGGGCAUUCAAGCCCAGGGAGUGACCCUGGGCUGCUUCUCUUCCACAGAUGCUGGCAAGGGGGCAGAUGGCCUGUUACAAGAAGCACAAGGGUGUGUGUGUGUGUGUGUGUGUGUGUGUGUGUGUGUGUGUGUGUGUGUGUGUGUGUGUUUUCAAACUGCCUGCCCAAACCUUCCAGUAUUUUCCAUGGACUUACUGCAGAAAAUAACGCCAGCCUCCAGCUGAACAGGAUGUGAAAACUCUCCCUCUCAGACUGGAGACAGCCUCCCUCCCAGGCUGAAGCUCAGGCUGUUGGCCUCUUUUACUCGGCCCUGUGUGAUUUGCGUAAAUUGUGUUAGCAGCCAGAUAUCAAGAGCAAACACUGGCCUGUCUUCUUCCUGUGUCAGUGACUUACUCCUUUAUCCCGGGGAAGCUGGCACUGCACCACAGUGGGAGCUGGUCUCUUCCCCUUGCUAAUUGGCUCACUGUGGGUAAACACAGCUGAGCAUCUUCUGUCCUUACUCAGCCUUUUUUUUUUUUUUUUCUUUAACCAUUCCAAGAUUAGGGUCCAACUGCCCGUGCUUAGUGGUUCAUUGGAGACCACGGAGAAUAGGGUGGGAGCUGCAAAUAUGGAACCUCUGUGGACUUUUAGAGCUAGACAGAAAUUAUGAUUCUAGAAUAUUAUACAACUUCAGUAUUUCUGAAAACUCCUACAGGUGAAAUGUCAAGGUUUUUCUUUGGAAUAUUCAUGGAAAUAGCUCUUAUUUGAGUGAAAACACGAACAUGUACACACCCACACACUUGCACACAAGCAUGCACACUCACACUCUUUCCUACAGAAAUGUGGAUGGCUUAUUUGGAAAUGAAGAAGGAGGUCAGGAGGGGCUGUUGCUUUCUUUAUGAUACAGGUGUGUGUGUGUGUGUGUGUGUGUGUGAUUAAGGAUAUUGUGUUUUUGCCAUUUCACACUUGUAUACAACACACUAGGAUUCCAGUCACUUCCCACUACCAUCUAUCUUCCCUCUCCCACUCUAGUCCACUCCUUUCUCUUUCUUGCACUCCCUACUUUAAUGUCUCCAUGUUUGUGAUAAUUCUGGUGGAGAUAGGGUGAUGCCAAUCACUGGAAAGUGUAGUGUAUACAAUGAAGUAUGGGACAUAAUACUGUCUCAGAGCAAUAAACAUGUGCCAGCAUACACAUUUACCAUCUUUUAUAGUUAUUUUCAUCAUAAAACAGUCAGAAGACAGCAGUGUUAUCCAUUUUGUUUAUUACAUCUGAGUUGCAUUAAGAGGCCAGAUCCAGUGAUGAAUCUAAGUUUGUCUAAAUCCACACUUUGACAUUCACACUAGGAUAAAAUAGUCUAGUGACUCAUUUUCCUGAGGCUAUUAUCAUUGUUAAGUGACAAACAGGAAAUGUAAGUAACACACAGAAAUAUUGAAUCUUCUUAAACAUUAGAUUCUUGUCUACAAAACAACAGUGACUUUACCCCCCUUGCAGUACUGCUACCUAGUGUAGUGGGGACACCUUGAGAAGUUCCACCAUCUUGCUAUAAUUAUGCUAUGUUUUGUUGUUACAAUCUUUACUAUUAUCUCCAGUCAUCCACCUAGACUUUGACACUAUAUACUUUUUACAUUUGGCAUUUUGAGUGUACCUUUGUAGCUUAGGGAAGAGCCCUAACUCUAAAGCUGUCCUCAUUUGUAUCCAUAAGUGCCACAGGUUGUAUGUCAUUAUCUGCUAUCACACAUAGUUUCUCUUGAAGAUUGUUUUGAGGUGAGUCUAAAUUUGGGGGGGGGGCAGACUUCGAGUUUCUUCCCCUCACUCUGCUGUUUCCUAUCUCCCAACUAUGCAGAGCACAGAAAAGAGUGACAGGGACUGAGAGCAUGGAAAGGAAAUUGGAAAGUGAUGCCAAAAAGCAGAUGAGUGUAGGGGAACAAUAGAUGUGUGAAACCCUUCAUGUCACCACCAAAGAGGCAUGGAAGAUCAUGACAUGAAGAAGCAGCCUUAUGUAUCUGGAUGCCUGUGGUCCCACUGCUCUACUUCCUGUAACUAUUCUGAAGGCAGGAGCACACCUCAGAAGUUCAUACUAUGUAAAUAACUCUAUGUAUGCCAAAUUAAACUUUUAUCAAUCCUCUCUUUAUUUUAGAAUGUUUAUUAAAAACACACAAGAAAACUGAC
This 3352-nucleotide long non-coding RNA is filed under the name Cricetulus griseus (Chinese hamster). Its description in RNAcentral is "lncRNA (ENSCGRG00015031710.1)". Lineage: Eukaryota; Metazoa; Chordata; Mammalia; Rodentia; Cricetidae. The record is from RNAcentral.